Molecule: long non-coding RNA, 468 nt
Organism: Alligator mississippiensis (American alligator)
Lineage: Eukaryota; Metazoa; Chordata; Crocodylia; Alligatoridae
Exons: 2
Source: RefSeq, a predicted model, not a curated record
GUCAAGGGAAUUUCUGCCGCCUCAGGAACUGCCCUCCAACAUUUGAAGCUACAGGCACUUGCCACGAUGGAGCCUUGGUCUGCUGUUCAAAGGUUCCAAGCGUCUAAGAGAUUUCCUCACAACACCAGAACCGUUCACACUGCCUGACCGAAGCCUAUUCAAUGAAUUCCUUUUUCUAGACCUUCCUGCAAGAUCAUUAGAACAAAAGUUUCCUACAAGCAUAUGGGGAGGGGGGCAGAGGGUGGGACAACCAAUCCAAGUCAUCUCCAUCUCUCCAAGACCCACUUGUCUUGCUUUUAAUUAAUACAGUGGCCAUGCCAGCACUUUGCAUGAGUAUUCCAGCCUACCUCGCCGGGAUGUUUCCAAUACUAAUCAGUUCAUGUUUUUGCAGCUGUUUGAGAGGUGAAGGAUAAAACAUAUUCAAAUUAUUAUUGUAGUCAUGAAAAAAUAAAGGGUAUUUUAACCUUA